AGAUGCUGUGCUCACCCCAGAGACGGAUGGAUCACACCGUUGAAAUUUUCUCCAUGUGUGUGACUCAUUUGUGUGCAUCUAUGUACAGCAGGUAUUCUCCAAUUGCUGCUAACUGGUGCCAUAGAGAAAAAGUCACACUCCGCACCUUGUGAGAGAAGCUACUCCAGGUGAGAAGCCACUCUUGAGGCUCCAGGUGAGAAGCCACUCUUCCGGGUCUGUGUUAGGAACCAUUCUUCAGGUUCCACGUUUGAAAAGCCAGCUCUUCCGGUUCUGUGUCAAGAGUCACCUCUUCAGGUUCUACGUUCAAAGCCACUCUUCAGGGACUGUGUGAGAAGCCACGCUUCAGGCUCCACUCUUCCCUCAGGCUCCUGCCAGCACGGGCUGAACAGCUAUGCCACAGUUCUUCACGAAAAUGAACCGAGAUCUAAACCAGGAUUCCCUCCUUUAAGUUGUUUCUGGUUGACAAAAUUCAUCAUCGCGGGAGCUGUGUUUUGAAAGUGCCUGAAAGUGACAGACCUCUUCUGAGCCUAAACUCUGAGCAAGCCCAGUUCCCAAAGAUCCCCAGGCCUGUGUGUGCUAAUGGAAACUCCAGUCACUUCUUAGAACGACUUCUGGCUGAACCCCAGGACACAGCUCUCAGGACGGUGGGAUGUCAGCCCCCUAGACAAGUCAUCUUGUUCAGUUCUCCCAACCUUCCUUGGAGCAAUCUCCAUCCUUUCUGCCAGAAGCUCCUUCCUUCCAGCACUUGGUGACCCAAGCACCAAGACCACCCCUUGCCAGCCUCCAUCAGAGGCCCCGAGCAUCAGGGAUACACUUCUGCAAGAGACACGUCAACCCAGAGGUUUCAGCUGCAGCCCUAGGGAUCCCUGAAGUUCUACAGAGGAGAAUUAGUGAGACACUGAAGGAAACCAGCGAUGCUUGAGGUCUCCCAGCCCUGUCUCAGCCAGAAUGGCUGGGAUACUACUGUAAUUGAAUACGGGUACCCUAUAUACUUUUGUUUAUAGAAAGGGUUCUGUGUCACUAAAACGUUUAUAAAACAUGUGUCUGUACUAAUAAAUUUUAUAAUGGAAACAAA
Molecule: long non-coding RNA, 1075 nt
Filed under: Mus musculus (house mouse)
Lineage: Eukaryota; Metazoa; Chordata; Mammalia; Rodentia; Muridae
Description: predicted gene, 30788
Source: RNAcentral